UUAAAUUGAAGAGUUUGAUCAUGGCUCAGAUUGAACGCUGGCGGCAGGCCUAACACAUGCAAGUCGAACGGUAACAGGAAUCAGCUUGCUGAUUCGCUGACGAGUGGCGGACGGGUGAGUAAUGUCUGGGAAACUGCCUGAUGGAGGGGGAUAACUACUGGAAACGGUAGCUAAUACCGCAUAACGUCGCAAGACCAAAGAGGGGGACCUUCGGGCCUCUUGCCAUCGGAUGUGCCCAGAUGGGAU
RNAcentral lists this ribosomal RNA (246 nucleotides) under Escherichia coli. RNAcentral describes it as "partial 16S ribosomal RNA". It matches the Rfam family "Bacterial small subunit ribosomal RNA", at positions 1 to 241 of the family's 1533-position model. The record is from RNAcentral. Lineage: Bacteria; Pseudomonadati; Pseudomonadota; Gammaproteobacteria; Enterobacterales; Enterobacteriaceae.